RNAcentral lists this ribosomal RNA (253 nucleotides) under uncultured bacterium. RNAcentral's name for it is "partial 16S ribosomal RNA". It matches the Rfam family "Bacterial small subunit ribosomal RNA", at positions 524 to 776 of the family's 1533-position model. The record is from RNAcentral.
UACGUAGGGGGCUAGCGUUGUCCGGAAUCAUUGGGCGUAAAGCGCGUGUAGGCGGUUCGGUAAGUCCGCUGUGAAAGUCGGGGGCUCAACCCUCGGAAGCCGGUGGAUACUGUCGAGCUAGAGUACGGAAGAGGCGAGUGGAAUUCCUGGUGUAGCGGUGAAAUGCGUAGAUAUCUGGAGGAACACCGGUGGCGAAGGCGGCGUCCUGGACCAACACUGACACUGAUGAGCGAAAGCCAGGGGAGCAAACGGG